GAUGUCACCCUAUGGAGAAUGUCACCCUAAGGAGGAUGUCACCCCAUGGAGGUUGAUGUCACCCUAUGGAGGAUGUCACCCUAUGGAGGAGGUCACCCUAUGGAGGUUGAUGUCACCCUAUGGAGGAUGUCACCUGGAGGUUGAUGUCACCCUAUGGAGGUGGAUGUCACCCUAAAGAGGAUGUCACCUCAUGGAGAAUGUCACCUGGAAGUUGAUGUCACCGUAUGGAGGUGGAUGUCACCCUAUGGAGGAUGUCACCUGGAGGUGGAUGUCACCCUAAGGAGGAUGUCACCCUAUGGAGAUGUUACCUGGAAGCGGAUGUCACCUGGUGGCAGAUGUCACCCCAUGGAGGAUGUCAGUCACCAUCUCGAUGUCACCUGGAGGCAGAUGUCACCCUGCGAUGGAUGUCACCCCAUGGACGAUGUCACCCCAUGGUGGAUGUCACCCCAUGGAGGAUGUCAGUUGCUGGCUCGAUGUCACCUGGAGGAGAAUGUCACCCCAUGGCUCACUGGAUGUCACCCUAAUGGAUGUCACCCCAUUUGAUGUCACCCAUUCGGAUGUCACCCCAAUGGGUGUCACCCCAUUAGAUGUCACCCCACUGGAUGUCACCCCAUUUGAUGUCACCCCAUUCGAUGUCACCCCAUUGGACGUCACCCCACGGCUCAAUGGAUGUCACCCGAUUGGAUGUCACCCCAUUGGAUGUCACCCUAAUGGGUGUCACCCCAAUGAAUGUCACCCAUUCGGAUGUCACCCCAAUGGGUGUCACCCCAUUGGAUGUCACCUGCUGUGACCUCAGGGCACGCGUGGCCUUUGCUUUGUACCCGCCUGGGAUUAAUUACCCUUUGGAAAAGUGAUUAAAAAUGCUAAUUUACAUCUCUGCGAACCCCGAGUGGCGUUUUGGGGUCCCCAAACCCCAUUCCUAGACAGAACCGCCGAGUGGAUCCAUAACGCGCAUGCUGAUUGGCUACUUGCAGAGCACGCCUUCGCUCUCGGCCAAUCCCUGCGCGCCUUUCAGAACCGCGGGGGCGGGCCUACCCGUCUGGCCCCGCCCCUCUCGGGGGCGUGUAGCCAAUCAGGGCGGCCGUAGCAUUUUGACGUCUCAGCUCCGCCAAUGGCGUUGUGAGAAACAUAACGAGCAAGGCUUCCGUCCCUCCCUGGUGGUCUAGUGGUUAGGAUUCGGCGCUCUCACCGCCGCGGCCCGGGUUCGAUUCCCGGUCAGGGAAGAUUUGUUUUCUCUCUUUUCUCCCCAUUUUGACCCAUUUCUUCCUAUUUUUUUUUAUCCUUUGGGCCAUUUUCUUCCUCCUUUUUACCCUUUCCUCCUCUUUUUCUCCCUCUUUUCUCCCCAUUUUGACCCUUCCCCAUUUCCCCCUUUGUUUCCUCCUUUUCAGUUUUCCUCCUCCUUUCCAUUUCCCCCCCUUUUUCCUCCUCCUUUUGCAUUUUUUUCCUUUUUUUCUCCUAUUUUUUUCAGUUUUCCUCCUAUUUUUCCCCUUUUUCCCUCCUCAUUUCGCUCUUUUCCUCCUUUUUCUGUAUUCUUUUCCCCCUUUUCCUCCUAUUUUGCCCCAUUUCCCCCAUUUUUUCCUCCCCCUUUUUCCUCCCUGCCCUUCCCCAUUUUGCCCAUUUCUCCAUGUUUCCUCCUCAUUUUCACUUCAUUUCUUCUCUCUUUGAAACUUUUUCCUCUCUUAUCCCCCUUUUCACUCCUCCUCCCCCUCUUCCUCUUUUCCUUUUGACAUUUCUCUCCCAUUUCUCCCCUUCAUUUUGAUUUCCUCCCCCCUUUUUCCUCUCUCCUUUUU
This 1790-nucleotide transfer RNA is filed under the name Phasianus colchicus (ring-necked pheasant). RNAcentral describes it as "lncRNA (ENSPCLG00000016693.1)". The stretch from base 1152 to 1223 matches the Rfam family "tRNA". Lineage: Eukaryota; Metazoa; Chordata; Aves; Galliformes; Phasianidae. The record is from RNAcentral.